Molecule: ribosomal RNA, 605 nt
Filed under: uncultured bacterium
Lineage: Bacteria
Description: bacterial SSU rRNA
Rfam family: Bacterial small subunit ribosomal RNA
Source: RNAcentral
CCAGACUCCUACGGGAGGCAGCAGUAGGGAAUCUUCGGCAAUGGACGAAAGUCUGACCGAGCAACGCCGCGUGAGUGAAGAAGGUUUUCGGAUCGUAAAACUCUGUUGGUAGAGAAGAACGUUGGUGAGAGUGGAAAGCUCAUCAAGUGACGGUAACUACCCAGAAAGGGACGGCUAACUACGUGCCAGCAGCCGCGGUAAUACGUAGGUCCCGAGCGUUGUCCGGAUUUAUUGGGCGUAAAGCGAGCGCAGGUGGUUUAUUAAGUCUGGUGUAAAAGGCAGUGGCUCAACCAUUGUAUGCAUUGGAAACUGGUAGACUUGAGUGCAGGAGAGGAGAGUGGAAUUCCAUGUGUAGCGGUGAAAUGCGUAGAUAUAUGGAGGAACACCGGUGGCGAAAGCGGCUCUCUGGCCUGUAACUGACACUGAGGCUCGAAAGCGUGGGGAGCAAGCAGGAUUAGAUACCCUGGUAGUCCACGCCGUAAACGAUGAGUGCUAGAUGUAGGGAGCUAUAAGUUCUCUGUAUCGCAGCUAACGCAAUAAGCACUCCGCCUGGGGAGUACGACCGCAAGGUUGAAACUCAAAGGAAUUGACGGGGCCCGCACAAG